UACGUAGGGUCCGAGCGUUGUCCGGGAUUAUUGGGCGUAAAGAGCUCGUAGGCGGUUUGUCGCGUCUGCCGUGAAAGUCCGGGGCUCAACUCCGGAUCUGCGGUGGGUACGGGCAGACUAGAGUGAUGUAGGGGAGACUGGAAUUCCUGGUGUAGCGGUGAAAUGCGCAGAUAUCAGGAGGAACACCGAUGGCGAAGGCAGGUCUCUGGGCAUUAACUGACGCUGAGGAGCGAAAGCAUGGGGAGCGAACAGG
RNAcentral lists this ribosomal RNA (253 nucleotides) under uncultured bacterium. RNAcentral's name for it is "partial 16S ribosomal RNA". It matches the Rfam family "Bacterial small subunit ribosomal RNA", at positions 524 to 776 of the family's 1533-position model. The record is from RNAcentral.